UACGUAGGGUGCGAGCGUUGUCCGGAAUUAUUGGGCGUAAAGAGCUCGUAGGCGGUCUGUCGCGUCGGCUGUGAAAACUCGGGGCUCAACCCCGAGCCUGCAGUCGAUACGGGCAGACUAGAGUCCGGCAGGGGAGACUGGAAUUCCCGGUGUAGCGGUGGAAUGCGUAGAGAUCGGGAAGAACAUCAGUGGCGAAGGCGGUCUGCUGGGCCGUUGCUGACGCUGAGGCGCGACAGCGUGGGGAGCAAACAGG
This 253-nucleotide ribosomal RNA is filed under the name uncultured bacterium. RNAcentral's name for it is "partial 16S ribosomal RNA". It matches the Rfam family "Bacterial small subunit ribosomal RNA", at positions 524 to 776 of the family's 1533-position model. The record is from RNAcentral.